This is a non-coding RNA of Poecilia reticulata (guppy), 612 nucleotides long. The record is from RefSeq and is a predicted model, not a curated record. Lineage: Eukaryota; Metazoa; Chordata; Actinopteri; Cyprinodontiformes; Poeciliidae.
CACAUAGGUCUAUGUCAUAGAUCAAAGAACAUCUGAGUUUAUGAAUGCUUGCAUCUCAAACCAGGAGGUUUCAGCGUUGGAUAUUUGAUCACCAGAGGAAUAAGAAAAGGUUUUAACAAACUACUCCCGGGUGUUAAGUUUGAAAUUAAUAACUCUCAGGACGAGUGCACUGAAUACGAUAUAUUCGAUGCUUAUCUUUUCAAUCCUUCCCCGGCUGGGGAAGUUUCUUCUUCAACUUCUGCUUUGACCAAAAAGGCGUCAGAGAACAAUACCCAGGUAGAGACUGCCCUCCUAGGGAACGACUUCUCUAAGUUUUCCAAAGAACAAACUUCCCCGGCUGGGCAAGUUGAAAAAAAGGAGACAGUUGAAUCUCACAGCUCGACCUCUAAUUUUCCCAAAGAAACUUCCCCAGCCAGGGAAGUUUGCGAUGCAAAGGAGACAAUUGAGUCCAAUAGCUCAACCUGUGCUCUGGCAAAAACGACGUUAGAAGACUUGACCAAUAAAGAGACAUCUGUCCUAGGGGAUGACAGCUCUAAAGAUCUUCCAAAAGAGCAAGUUUCCGCGGCUGCGGAUGUUUGCCCAGAAAGGAGUAAAUAUCAGCACUACAAACGA